GGGAAAGAUUUAUCGCUAUUGGAGGGGCCCGCGUCGGAUUAGCUWGUUGGUGAGGUAACGGCUCACCAAGGCGACGAUCCGUAGCUGGUCUGAKAGGAUGAUCAGCUACACUGGGACUUARACACGGCCCARACUCCUACGGGAGGCAGCAGUGGGGAAUAUUGGACAAUGGGGGCAACCCUGAUCCAGCAAUGCCGCGUGAGUGAUGAAGGCCUUAGGGUUGUAAAGCUCUUUUACCGGGGACGAUGAUGACSGUACCCGGAGAAUAAGCCCCGGCUAACUUCGUGCCAGCWGCCGCGGUACUGCGAAGGGGGCGAGCGUUGUUCGGAGUUACUGGGCGU
This 341-nucleotide ribosomal RNA is filed under the name uncultured bacterium. RNAcentral describes it as "bacterial SSU rRNA". It matches the Rfam family "Bacterial small subunit ribosomal RNA", at positions 200 to 561 of the family's 1533-position model. The record is from RNAcentral.